AACGAACGCUGGCGGCAUGCCUAACACAUGCAAGUCGAACGAGACCUUCGGGUCUAGUGGCGCACGGGUGCGUAACGCGUGGGAACCUGCCCUUAGGUUCGGAAUAACUCCCCGAAAGGGGUGCUAAUACCGGAUAAUGUCUUCGGACCAAAGAUUUAUCGCCUUUGGAUGGGCCCGCGUUGGAUUAGCUAGUUGGUAGGGUAAAAGCCUACCACGGCGACGAUCCAUAGCUGGUCUGAGAGGAUGAUCAGCCACACUGGGACUGAGACACGGCCCAGACUCCUACGGGAGGCAGCAGUGGGGAAUAUUGGACAAUGGGCGAAAGCCUGAUCCAGCAAUGCCGCGUGAGUGAUGAAGGCCUUAGGGUUGUAAAGCUCCUUUACCCGGGAUGAUAAUGACAGUACCGGGAGAAUAAGCUCCGGCUAACUCCGUG
This 433-nucleotide ribosomal RNA is filed under the name uncultured bacterium. RNAcentral's name for it is "partial 16S ribosomal RNA". It matches the Rfam family "Bacterial small subunit ribosomal RNA", at positions 29 to 507 of the family's 1533-position model. The record is from RNAcentral.